This is a non-coding RNA of Mycena metata, 96 nucleotides long. NCBI's taxonomy places the organism in Eukaryota, Fungi, Basidiomycota, Agaricomycetes, Agaricales, Mycenaceae. The record is from the annotation of a GenBank genome assembly.
GGCUCAGUGGUGGGUACCAUCUCUGCACCCAAUAAUAGUGAUGUGUACUGUUUGGAUACGUUGCAGUGACCGCUCGUUCGAUUCGAGCCUGAGUCA